CUCAGGUGUAUGUUGGUGAGGCUGGUUCAUGAGAGCCACUUCUUGCCACCUAUUUCCAACUCCAUGUAAGUGACUUUGUGUUGGUGGAAAUUCGCCCUGAUAGGAAUAAUUAUAGAAACUGGCAUGUUAGUUCCUUUCCACAACCUGGUUGUUGCGCAUCUGUUAACAUACUACUGAAGUGAAUAGUAGUAGCCAGGAGAAAAGGUUUUCUCACACUGUGGCUCUGACUCUACAUUUGUACCUAGUUGGAGAAAGCCUGAAGGGCUUUACAGACCUUACAUUCUUUUUGUUUGUUUAUGUUUUAGAUGAGCCUCUAAAAGUGAGCCUCUUGCUUCAGCCACCUGAAUAGCUAGAACUCAAGGCGUGCACCACUGUACGUGGCAACAGACACUACACCCUUCUCCUUGCCUGUGUCUUUGAGUGUGCUUAUGAACUUAGUCCAAUAUCUGUAUAGUUAUUGUUCUUCCCAUUUCCAUGGUUCUAUCCUCAAGCAGUCUCUGACUACUUGCUCUCUAAAGGUGGAACGAAUCAAGAAGCUCUGCGACAGCCAAAGACUCUGAGUUAGAAACUAUCAAUAGGCCAAUGUAGAGAAAGGUUGAGAAGGAGUGAUAAGCUGGGAUGGGAUAUUCAGUCUCGGUAAGGUAAAAGGGCUGGUGUUUUUAGAAGAAAGGAUUUCCCUUCCUUGGCUUCUCUAGUGAAAACUGGUUGGAGUGAAAAAGUUAAGGGGAAGAUGCCUGUGGCCAGUGCCUUAGACGGAUCCCACCCCUAUAUCUCCGGUCACUUUGGUGCGGGGCUGCAGGCCUUUCCCCGUGCCGCAGCAGAAGGCGCUCUUGCGCGAUCGCCAUACUGGCUGCGGGAGCUCAGCGACGCUCUAGUCUCUUUUCUCUGUGGCAUCCCGGCGGCUUCUUUGGCCUCUGCAGCAUUGCGGGUUCUCCGGCAGGGGAGAAAACGCCAACUUGGCACGCAGCCUCCGGGACCGAGGCAUGGCACGGCUCCCGAAGCUCGCAGUCUUUGAUCUGGAUUACACGCUGUGGCCUUUUUGGGUCGACACGCACGUAGACCCCCCAUUCCACAAGAGCAGUGAUGGAACUGUCCGGGAUAGUCGGGGCCAGAACAUUCGGUUGUACCCGGAGGUGUCUAAGGUCCUAGAACGGUUACAGGACCUUGGGGUGCCCGUCGCAGCGGCUUCCCGGACAGGUGAGAUAGAAGGGGCGAACCAACUACUGGAGCUCUUUGACCUUGUUAGAUAUUUUGCUCAUCGGGAAAUUUAUCCGGGCAGCAAAGUCACACACUUUGAGAGGUUGCAGCAGAAGACUGGGGUUUCUUUCGCCCAGAUGAUCUUCUUCGAUGAUGAGAAGCGAAAUAUUGUAGAUGUUGGUAAACUGGGUGUUCUCUGCAUUCACAUUCAGAAUGGAAUGAGUCUUCAAACCCUAGCCCAAGGGUUAGAAACAUUCACUAACUCUCAAGCUGGGCACUGAGGUCCAGCCCUGAGGAUGAGCCUCAUUUGAAGCCUAAAAUGGAAAGGAAACGGAGAAGGCAUUUUUUUCAGGGAAGAAGGAAAAGGGGCCAACCCCUGAAGAAGCAAUACAGAAACUGAAGGAGACUGAGAAGAUACUGAUCAAAAAACAGGAGUUUCUGGAACAGAAGAUUCAGCAGGAGCUACAAACAGCCAAGAAGCAUGGG
This is an RNA transcript of Marmota monax (woodchuck), 1683 nucleotides long. It is a transcript of the gene named magnesium dependent phosphatase 1, with no coding region annotated. Lineage: Eukaryota; Metazoa; Chordata; Mammalia; Rodentia; Sciuridae. The record is from RefSeq and is a predicted model, not a curated record. The transcript is spliced from 7 exons.